GAUGAACGCUGGCGGCGUGCCUAAUACAUGCAAGUCGAGCGAACGGACGAGAAGCUUGCUUCUCUGAUGUUAGCGGCGGACGGGUGAGUAACACGUGGAUAACCUACCUAUAAGACUGGGAUAACUUCGGGAAACCGUAGCUAAUACCGGAUAAUAUUUUGAACCGCAUGGUUCAAAAGUGAAAGACGGUCUUGCUGUCACUUAUAGAUGGAUCCGCGCUGCAUUAGCUAGUUGGUAAGGUAACGGCUUACCAAGGCAACGAUGCAUAGCCGACCUGAGAGGGUGAUCGGCCACACUGGAACUGAGACACGGUCCAGACUCCUACGGGAGGCAGCAGUAGGGAAUCUUCCGCAAUGGGCGAAAGCCUGACGGAGCGACGCCGCGUGAGUGAUGAAGGUCUUCGGAUCGUAAAACUCUGUUAUUAGGGAAGAACAUAUGUGUAAGUAACUGUGCACAUCUUGACGGUACCUAAUCAGAAAGCCACGGCUAACUACGUGCCAGCAGCCGCGGUAAUACGUAGGUGGCAAGCGUUAUCCGGAAUUAUUGGGCGUAAAGCGCGCGUAGGCGGUUUUUUAAGUCUGAUGUGAAAGCCCACGGCUCAACCGUGGAGGGUCAUUGGAAACUGGAAAACUUGAGUGCAGAAGAGGAAAGUGGAAUUCCAUGUGUAGCGGUGAAAUGCGCAGAGAUAUGGAGGAACACCAGUGGCGAAGGCGACUUUCUGGUCUGUAACUGACGCUGAUGUGCGAAAGCGUGGGGAUCAAACAGGAUUAGAUACCCUGGUAGUCCACGCCGUAAACGAUGAGUGCUAAGUGUUAGGGGGUUUCCGCCCCUUAGUGCUGCAGCUAACGCAUUAAGCACUCCGCCUGGGGAGUACGACCGCAAGGUUGAAACUCAAAGGAAUUGACGGGGACCCGCACAAGCGGUGGGGCAUGUGGUUUAAUUCGAAGCAACGCGAAGGACCUUACCAAAUCUUGACAUCCUUUGACAACUCUAGAGAUAGAGCCUUCCCCUUCGGGGGACAAAGUGACAGGUGGUGCAUGGUUGUCGUCAGCUCGUGUCGUGAGAUGUUGGGUUAAGUCCCGCAACGAGCGCAACCCUUAAGCUUAGUUGCCAUCAUUAAGUUGGGCACUCUAAGUUGACUGCCGGUGACAAACCGGAGGAAGGUGGGGAUGACGUCAAAUCAUCAUGCCCCUUAUGAUUUGGGCUACACACGUGCUACAAUGGACAAUACAAAGGGCAGCGAAACCGCGAGGUCAAGCAAAUCCCAUAAAGUUGUUCUCAGUUCGGAUUGUAGUCUGCAACUCGACUACAUGAAGCUGGAAUCGCUAGUAAUCGUAGAUCAGCAUGCUACGGUGAAUACGUUCCCGGGUCU
RNAcentral lists this ribosomal RNA (1372 nucleotides) under uncultured bacterium. Its description in RNAcentral is "bacterial SSU rRNA". It matches the Rfam family "Bacterial small subunit ribosomal RNA", at positions 28 to 1381 of the family's 1533-position model. The record is from RNAcentral.